CAACCCCCUCAGUGCCAGUGGCUUCCCUCUCCUGGCUCAGAGGCCAGAGGAAGGGCGAGAGGUCCUGGGAGCGCGGCGCUGAGGACCCAUGGCCAUGAACUUCCAGGACAAUGUGACCCUGGCCAUCACCGUCUUCACCAUCUUCGCCUCCAUCUACUUCUUCAACAAGGCUCAGCAGUGACACCCGCCGGCUCACCCGCCCAGGGCUGGCCGCUGCCCGCCAGCACUGCCACAAUGGCCUCUGAGAACAAAUAAACGGAGUGGUACCAGCACA
This is a long non-coding RNA of Chinchilla lanigera (long-tailed chinchilla), 274 nucleotides long. RefSeq lists it as uncharacterized. The record is from RefSeq and is a predicted model, not a curated record. NCBI's taxonomy places the organism in Eukaryota, Metazoa, Chordata, Mammalia, Rodentia, Chinchillidae. The transcript is spliced from 3 exons.